Long non-coding RNA from Anopheles merus, 1147 nucleotides. RefSeq lists it as uncharacterized. The transcript has 2 exons. NCBI's taxonomy places the organism in Eukaryota, Metazoa, Arthropoda, Insecta, Diptera, Culicidae. The record is from RefSeq and is a predicted model, not a curated record.
CUGUUUUGCUACCCGAUUCGAACUCCACCAGCAGCAUGAAGCACCCGGUUGCCUGAUCAUUGCGGCAAUAGUUUACAUCCGCAUCGGAGAUCUGUGCAUCGCACCCAUCGCACUGAUAGCACCGGAGAUGGUUCGGAAAGAUUUGGUUAUUACAGGUGCUGUCGCUGCACAGGUCGUAUGAAUCGAACUUCGUCGUUGGAAAUUCGUCGCUGACACAUCCACGCGAAAUAUUCCACUUACAAUCAUAGACCGUGUAACACUGAUCUUUCUGGUGAAUAUUACAUUCGACCUUACUGCCGAGGAAAGCAUCAAUCGACGGACAAUCAUCGCAGGAGUAGCAUUCAAAGCUCGCUGCAAGGAUGAGGAAUGCACAACUUUGGUGUAAUCUUGCUUAGAUUUAGACUUCCCUCGCAUGUCUUACCAUCUCGAUUGCAUAGAUCACUGGAACACGUUCGGCAGUUGGCCCCCUCUUGUUCACAGCUAAUAGUGUAGUCUUCCUCACUUGUACAGCCUAAAUGCAGUGUGGCCUGUUCGUCAAGAUAGCGGUAACAUUGAUCCGUCACCUUGGGACACGUUUGCAGCAAGCAUUCAGGAUUUACGCUAGUAUCACAGACUUCGCACGUCAGAACAUCGUUACAGGGUUUACCUGUCUCCGGGCUACAUUCGGUACAAGAAGCACCGGAACAGUCCACGACGUACUCCGGAUCUGAGGUACAGCCUCGUUUACCAUCUAGAAAAAUGUGGGUAAGUACACAUUAGCUUCUUUUUAUUGUAAAAUUGCAUCAAACUGCUAAAUAUCUUCAAUAUGUACAUCCUAAUAUUGGGACACGUGCAUUCCUGUAGAAUUUACGACCUCACAUUAAAGACGCCCUUCCGAAGCGCCGUUUGAUUGACUGGUGGCGGUAAAACAUCACACAGUAUCACCUUCGACAAGCGAUUUUAUAAUCCUGUUCUCUUCUUCCACUAUCUGUGUCUCCUGUAGUUAGGUCUCCUCGCCCCACAUUCCCUGUUAUGGUUAUUUAUCUACACUUCCGAAUUGUAUGUCAUCCGCCUUCCGAUAUCGUUUGAUUGGGCUGAUAGUGCAGUGUGUUCCUGCAAUGCUGGAUGGAUUUAUGGCCACCCCGUUUCUCACACUGGAUGAUUUGGU